This 504-nucleotide ribosomal RNA is filed under the name uncultured bacterium. Its description in RNAcentral is "bacterial SSU rRNA". It matches the Rfam family "Bacterial small subunit ribosomal RNA", at positions 355 to 861 of the family's 1533-position model. The record is from RNAcentral.
UGGGGAGUAUUGCGCAAUGGGCGAAAGCCUGACGCAGCGACGCCGCGUGUGGGAUGACGGCCUUCGGGUUGUAAACUACUGUCGGGAGGGACGAAUGCGCCGCAAGGCGAGUGACGGUACCUCCAAAGGAAGCACCGGCUAACUCCGUGCCAGCAGCCGCGGUAAUACGGAGGGUGCGAGCGUUGUCCGGAAUCACUGGGCGUAAAGGGCGCGUAGGCGGCCCGGUAAGUAGGGGGUGAAAUCCUGCGGCUUAACCGCAGGGCUGCCUUCUAAACUGUCGGGCUCGAGCACGGUAGAGGCAGAUGGAAUUCCCGGUGUAGCGGUGGAAUGCGUAGAGAUCGGGAAGAACAUCAGUGGCGAAGGCGGUCUGCUGGGCCGUUGCUGACGCUGAGGCGCGACAGCGUGGGGAGCAAACAGGAUUAGAUACCCUGGUAGUCCACGCCGUAAACGAUGGGCACUAGGCGUCGGGGGGAGCGACCCUCCCGGUGCCGUCGCUAACGCAGU